UCAACCUACCUUUCCGUCCGGGAUAACUAGCCGAAAGGUUAGCUAAUACCUGAUGCGAUCUUCGAGCGGCAUCGCUUGAUGAUGAAAGCAGUAAUGCGCGGAUUGAGGGGGCUGCGGCCCAUUAGCUAGUUGGUGAGGUAACGGCCCACCAAGGCUACGAUGGGUAGCUGGUCUGAGAGGACGACCAGCCACACUGGGACUGAGACACGGCCCAG
Molecule: ribosomal RNA, 215 nt
Filed under: uncultured bacterium
Lineage: Bacteria
Description: partial 16S ribosomal RNA
Rfam family: Bacterial small subunit ribosomal RNA
Source: RNAcentral